AAAGAGAGGGAAAGAAAACAUAACAAAAGGUUUUUGGGCGGUAAUAUUUUUUCCCAAAUUGCGCCAUCAGCUACUUCAAAGUUCAAAGCGGGAGAAAUUCGUUGAGCACCAACUUUACCUCCUUCCAUAGGAAAUUGUAAAUUGCAUUAAUCUCCUUCAAUCUACCUUUAUGCUUUCAUCUUCUUCAAGUUCCCUUUCUGCCAUUAAUUAUAGUGAGAGGGUCAGAGGGACAUUGUCAGAGGUGCAAGAACAUGCCACGGGGUUGAUAUUUUCUCUCUCUUUGGACAGAAGAAUAGGACUGCCAUUGUUGAGCUGCUUAUUAAGAAAUUCAACGCAGUCCCACCGCUUGUGACGGUUCUACGGCAGGAGAAGGAGUCGAUGGUCGGGAUAAUUUUAUUGUUGUUGUAUCAAUUAACAACGAGCCUGCGAGUACCAAAAGAAGUGAUGUUGGAUGGAUAUGCUGUGGAAUAUUUGGUGUGGAUGUUUAUUGUUGAUUAUAAGUUGUAAAUAUUGGUUUUAUUGCCGACUGCAUUUUCGGGAAUUUAAUCUCUCAAUUCUACUUAAUGGUGUUUUUUGUUCAUAUUUCUGUUUGAUAAUCUAAAAUGAAAUCGGGUUCUAGCAUUA
Spinacia oleracea (spinach) is the source of this 624-nucleotide long non-coding RNA. RefSeq lists it as uncharacterized. Lineage: Eukaryota; Viridiplantae; Streptophyta; Magnoliopsida; Caryophyllales; Amaranthaceae. The record is from RefSeq and is a predicted model, not a curated record. The transcript is spliced from 2 exons.